This is a long non-coding RNA of Anas platyrhynchos (mallard), 1473 nucleotides long. RefSeq lists it as uncharacterized. Lineage: Eukaryota; Metazoa; Chordata; Aves; Anseriformes; Anatidae. The record is from RefSeq and is a predicted model, not a curated record.
GUUCUGUGAUUGAUGUUUCUGCCGGGAAACCUGUAAAUGAAUGAAGCCAUUUGUUGGACUGAGCAAAUCAGCAACGAUCAACAGCUGGACACAGUGGAACUGAAAUUUCCCUCAGAUGACAGCUGCUUUCUACUGCUUACUGCUGUGAGGGGUCAACUUGUGAUGUCCAGCUACAUGUCCCGAGGUGCAGUUCUUACAGUCAGAACCCAGACAGACAAAGCUGGAUACCUGUAUGAUUCACACACAUCUGUAGGAUGUUGCUGCCCUCCAUUUGUACAACGGCCCACAUGGCAGCUGCCUUCGUACAGGUUGGAAGAGUCACUGGAGUGAACAAGUGCCCUGAUUAAACUCUUCUUCUCUUCCAGUCCCCAGCAAAUCUUUGAAUCCUGAGGAGAUGAUAAUUAAUGCAGAACUUUAAAUAGCUUUUCAGAGAAGCAAUUCAGGUUGCAUGUAGUAGACACAACUUUCAUAAGUAUAUGGAAAACAGAUUUACUCUUUAGAAGAAGGUUAAAUUUCAGUCUUAAUUACAAAUGUCUCUUUUUUGUACAACAAUUUUUAAAUUAUAACUCCCUGAAGAAUAAAUAUUCCAUAAGACUGGAUAACAAGGCUAAGUCUAAUUUAUGCCAUUUAGAUGCAAAUGAUCAUUCUGGUGUCUAAAUGCCCAAAAUCAAGUGGAAGGUAAGCAGACACUGAGGGCACAGAAAAGCAAUAUGGAAAAUCUUAUUUUUUGAUUAAGGUACAAGUUUCAAGGGUUCAGAUCCUCAAAGCCCUUUCUCAUGCUAGUCCAUUGACUUCACUACAAUCCUCUCAUGAGAGCCCAUGUCAGUGGGGUCAUUCCCAUGAGAAGACUGUGUUUUGAAUUAGUGUAGCUUUUCUAUUCUUAAGCAACAAAAAUCUGAGAUGAUAUGUGCAGCUGAGUUUGGAUUUUUUGGAAAGUAGAACUGCAGUAAAUCAUACAGUAUAAAGGAAAUCAGAAGAUUAAAUAAAGCAGCAAAAUGUUUAUUGGCAGCAUGGAGUCUGCUUCAGAAGACUAUUUUAGAAGUGUGGAGUAGAUGUAUACCACCUACCAGACAAGUUUUUAAAAGACUGAAAGGAAAACAAAAUGCUGUCAUGGUCAAAUAUCAAGGCAGUAGAAAUCACUAAAUGGCAUUAAAGGCAUCUUUUAAAAAGUGGAAGUCUUAUCUGAACAAGGAAAAAUAGAAGAGAGCAUAACCUCUAGCAAGUUGAGUUUUGACCUCUAAUCAAGAAGGGCAGUGAAGAUUUAGAAAGGAAACCUAGUAAAAUUAUGAAGGCCUUGAAUUAUGAAGUAUAAAAUGAAAAUUAUGAAGUAUAAAACCUUCCUCAAAAACAUCAGGGCCGCAAGCUGACCAGAAAGUCAAUAGGGCCAAUAUGUGAUGAAGGUGUAGAAAAGCACUCCAUGAAGGCAAGACCUUGCAGCAGAAAUAAACGACGUAUUUCUAUUAGUGCUGGUCA